UAUGAAACACACUUCUAAGGCUUUGAAGCACCAAAGGUAUAUCAUAGAAAGUCAGAGAACACAAUAAAGCCAACACUGGCGGCUAACAGAGGAUGAUGAUAGUAGAGUUCAAUGUUAUCUCAAUCUCAUAUAGCUUUGAAGGUCGGCCAUCUACGGACUUAGCCGAUUCAAAGGCCCCAAAAGUGUCACCAUCUCAAAUCACUCAAAACCUCUCAUAGAGUCAACAAAAUAAACUACUCAAGUCUGCUGCAUGAAGUAUAAAGCAGGCAGCAGAAAUCCCUCACAAAGAAGCACUAACAUACAACACAAAAUCACAAGAAAAGAAGUAUGUACAACCCAGCCAGCUCGGAGAUGGUAAGAGAGGAACCCACCUCUAGGUUAAAGGAAGAAGUCGUCCCUUGCUUGAAUGGUAUAAAGGAAGGUCGCUGGACAUCGGACGAGCCUCUGAAAAAAGAAACAUAAUUCGAGAGAAAAAUUCUCUCUCUAGAAGCUACAGAGAG
Molecule: unclassified non-coding RNA, 500 nt
Filed under: Hevea brasiliensis (rubber tree)
Lineage: Eukaryota; Viridiplantae; Streptophyta; Magnoliopsida; Malpighiales; Euphorbiaceae
Source: RNAcentral